RNAcentral lists this ribosomal RNA (519 nucleotides) under Prorocentrum emarginatum/fukuyoi group EO-2011. RNAcentral's name for it is "LSU rRNA". It matches the Rfam family "Eukaryotic large subunit ribosomal RNA", at positions 83 to 503 of the family's 3401-position model. The record is from RNAcentral. Lineage: Eukaryota; Dinophyceae; Prorocentrales; Prorocentraceae.
GUAAUGGCGAGUGAAUGGAGACGAGCUCACUUUGGAAAUUGGGGCUUCUUUGGCCUUGAAUUGUAGUCUCGAGGUGUGCUGCCAGUGGAGGCGCAGAUGUUGGCCUCUUGGAAGAGAGCAUCAGUGAGGGUGAGAGUCCUGUCUGUCUUUUGCAGCCCUCCGCACACGGUGCCCUUUCUGCGAGUCAUGCUCCUUGGAAUUGGAGUGUAAAAAAGGUGGUAAAUUUCAUCUCAAGCUAAAUAUUGGGUCGAGACCGAUAGAAAACAAGUACCAUGAGGGAAAGAUGAAAAGGACUUUGAAAAGAGAGUUAGAAGUGCCUGAAAUUGCUGAAAACGAAGAGAAUGGAACUAGCACAGCUUUGCGAGAUUGUCACGUGGUAAAGUGCACCAGCGACACGUGUUGCUUCUCGCCUCGUGCGUCCACUCCAGCUUGUGGCCGAGGAAACCGCCGGGGACAUGGUGCUCAGCCUGCGGGCGGGCAAAUGUUCUCUGCAGAACUCGUUCGCGAACUGAAGCUUGA